CUUCCUCAGAGCCUGUUGUGCUCAUUGCAUCCCUGCAGUUUGACGGACCCUUCUCUUGCAAACAAGUUUACUCUCCUUGCUUGAGUCUGCACUCUCCCUGGCAGUUUAAUGGACCCUUUUCUGUGAGUUACUAACACAAAUUUAGAAGAAGAAGAGGCCAAAAAAAUGGGGUCCAGAAGAAAAGUGCUGCUUGCUGUAAUCAUUUUCACAGCUGUCUGCUACAAAGUGACUGCACAGGAUGCAAGAAUACUGGAUGCUCUAAAUCCCACAGAUGUUGUAGAUGACCAGUACAAUGGAUGCCGUAAAGAGGCCGUGAAGAAGUUCAUCCAGUCAGACCUGUUAAAACAAGAACUAAAUCACAGUGAAGGAUUUCAGAAAGCGUGGAACAGAAGUAACAAGUGUUUGAAGCAGAUCCCUGGAGGGCGUAAAGAGCAUACUUCUGCACUUUCAAUCUAUGCUCAUGGGGAUUAUGAUUUCUUACAAACACUGAACAAAGCAAUAGAGACGAUGGGUGGAAAUGUUAGCAUCUAUGAAAACCACUUCCACUUCAAGUCUCUUCAUUUCCUGCUGAUGGAUUCCAUGAAGCUGCUGAAGCCGAAGGAGUGCAAGACUUUCUAUGUUUUUCAAGAUGGUCAAAGCCAACCACGGUCAAAGAAAGGCUCCACAGUGAGAUUUACAAGUUUCACCUCAGCUUAUUCAAACUUUGAAGAGAUAAAGAGAUCUGAAGAUCUCGCUGACAACAUCGUUUUAAAUCUCACUUCUUGCUUCUUUGUCAACCUGAAAGACUAUGUGUGCGAUCAAACCCAGGAUACAAUACUUUUAUCUCCAGCAGAAGUUUUCACUGUGGAGGAAACAGAAACAAAAACUACAGAUGAUGAUGAGGAAUAUGUUGAGAUUGUUUUGAAACAGUCAGGACUGAAAAGCUUCCACAACUGUUACAUCUUUUCACGAGACUCAGGAGAGCAGGAGACUGUCACAGCUGUCACAGAGCGAGACAGGUCUCCUCCAGCUGUUGUCUCCACCCAGUGGUUUGUGUCAGUGCUUGUGGCCUUAUCUUUUUUUUUUUAGCAGUUUAGUAAAAACGUUUAUCAUUCAGAGUUUUCUGAGUAUUAUCGUCUACAGUACUGCUUUGUCGAUCCCAUAAACUCAGGAGAUUGUGGGAUCUACCAAAUAUAGUUUUAUGCUUCUGUCACACGUCAUGAAUUAUAGACUGAAUUCUUAUUUUCUUUAUGCAUGUCAGAAAGGUAUACAGUGUACUUCUUUAUUUCAUGUUAAGUAUUGUGUGACUUUAAAGGAUGAUAAGAAAUGAGAGAGGGGAACGACUUACAGCAAACUGCUGCAAGACUUGCAGUGUUCUGGAGUUUAUGGUGGGCAACUUUAACUCCCCACAGCAGGAGUAUUUCCAGAAACAUUCAAUGGGGUGGCACGAGAGGACCAAGGACAAGGCAAAGAGGCAAAUAUUAUAAAUCAUUGUACAAUUUAUAUUUUGUAGAGAGGGUUCCCUCUGUUAUUGUCUCUAACUUCACUUCAAUACACUCGUAUCAUGUGUUUGAGUUCCUUUGCCAAUAAAUUUAAAUAAAGAAUGAAUUUGACUAUUAUUAUACUUUCAGAACUUCCUCAGAUAUCACGUUAAUGCUACGACCUCUUUUUGCGAGGGGGAUCAAAUAUCGCGACAGCUCUCCUCCGAAGCUGAAGGUGGCGGUAAUACCCAAGCGCCUUUCGUCAAACGAAGAAGGAAAAAGGGAGGAAGAAAGAGGCGGAGGUCAACUAAAUAUUGAUAACGCAGAGACGAUAAGAUAAAGCUGUAACUAGAAACUUUUGCCUGGCAAUGAGGCUGUAAACGCUUCUGUGGACCUCAGAGAAGAUGCAGGUCACCUGGAUAAAACACAAUGCUCGUAUACUGUGAUACUUCUCGUGCCGUGGGCAACAAGCCAUCUAAUUUGUAACUUUUCCAACUCAGGAAGCCAAACCUCGUGUGACACCGUAAACUGUGUUUGCUUGUCUGAAGGA
This is an RNA transcript of Archocentrus centrarchus (flier cichlid), 2010 nucleotides long. It is a transcript of the gene named claudin domain containing 1b, with no coding region annotated. NCBI's taxonomy places the organism in Eukaryota, Metazoa, Chordata, Actinopteri, Cichliformes, Cichlidae. The transcript has 6 exons. The record is from RefSeq and is a predicted model, not a curated record.